This 670-nucleotide ribosomal RNA is filed under the name Shigella sp. RNAcentral's name for it is "bacterial SSU rRNA". It matches the Rfam family "Bacterial small subunit ribosomal RNA", at positions 25 to 686 of the family's 1533-position model. Lineage: Bacteria; Pseudomonadati; Pseudomonadota; Gammaproteobacteria; Enterobacterales; Enterobacteriaceae. The record is from RNAcentral.
CAGAUUGAACGCUGGCGGCAGGCCUAACACAUGCAAGUCGAACGGUAACAGGAAGCAGCUUGCUUCUUCGCUGACGAGUGGCGGACGGGUGAGUAAUGUCUGGGAAACUGCCUGAUGGAGGGGGAUAACUACUGGAAACGGUAGCUAAUACCGCAUAACGUCGCAAGACCAAAGAGGGGGACCUUCGGGCCUCUUGCCAUCGGAUGUGCCCAGAUGGGAUUAGCUUGUGGUGGGGUAACGGCUCACCAGGCGACGAUCCCUAGCUGGUCUGAGAGGAUGACCAGCCACACUGGAACUGAGACACGGUCCAGACUCCUACGGGAGGCAGCAGUGGGGAAUAUUGCACAAUGGGCGCAAGCCUGAUGCAGCCAUGCCGCGUGUAUGAAGAAGGCCUUCGGGUUGUAAAGUACUUUCAGCGGGGAGGAAGGGAGUAAAGUUAAUACCUUUGCUCAUUGACGUUACCCGCAGAAGAAGCACCGGCUAACUCCGUGCCAGCAGCCGCGGUAAUACGGAGGGUGCAAGCGUUAAUCGGAAUUACUGGGCGUAAAGCGCACGCAGGCGGUUUGUUAAGUCAGAUGUGAAAUCCCCGGGCUCAACCUGGGAACUGCAUCUGAUACUGGCAAGCUUGAGUCUCGUAGAGGGGGGUAGAAUUCCAGGUGUAGCGGUGAAA